GGCCUCAUCGUCUAUCGGUUAGGACACCAGGUUUUCAUCCUGGGAAGAGGGGUUCGACUCCCCUUGAGGCUACAA
RNAcentral lists this transfer RNA (75 nucleotides) under Candidatus Moranbacteria bacterium CG2_30_41_165. Its description in RNAcentral is "tRNA-Glu". It matches the Rfam family "tRNA". Rfam says of the family: Transfer RNA (tRNA) molecules are approximately 80 nucleotides in length. The record is from RNAcentral. Lineage: Bacteria; Candidatus Moraniibacteriota. RNAcentral also lists the same sequence under 4 other names.